ACGUGUAGCAGUGAAAUGCGUAGAGAUGUGGAGGAAUACCGAUGGCGAAGGCAGCCUCCUGGGAUAACGCUGACGUUCAUGCUCGAAAGCGUGGGUAGCAAACAGGAUUAGAUACCCUGGUAGUCCACGCCCUAAACGAUGUCAAUUAGCUGUUGGGCAACUUGAUUGCUUAGUAGCGUAGCUAACGCGUGAAAUUGACCGCCUGGGGAGUACGGUCGCAAGAUUAAAACUCAAAGGAAUUGACGGGGACCCGCACAAGCGGUGGAUGAUGUGGAUUAAUUCGAUGCAACGCGAAGAACCUUACCUGGUCUUGACAUGUACGGAAUCCUCCAGAGACGGAGGAGUGCCUUCGGGAGCCGUAACACAGGUGCUGCAUGGCUGUCGUCAGCUCGUGUCGUGAGAUGUUGGGUUAAGUCCCGCAACGAGCGCAACCCUUGUCAUUAGUUGCCAUCAUUAAGUUGGGCACUCUAAUGAGACUGCCGGUGACAAGCCGGAGGAAGGUGGGGAUGACGUCAAGUCCUCAUGGCCCUUAUGACCAGGGCUUCACACGUCAUACAAUGGUCGGUACAGAGGGUAGCCAAGCCGCGAGGCGGAGCCAAUCUCACAAAACCGAUCGUAGUCCGGAUUGCACUCUGCAACUCGAGUGCAUGAAGUCGGAAUCGCUAGUAAUCGCAGGUCAGCAUACUGCGGUGAAUACGUUCCCGGGUCUUGUACACACCGCCCGUCACACCAUGGGAGUGGGGGAUACCAGAAGUAGGUAGGGUAACCGCAAGGAGCUCGCUUACCACGGUAUGCUUCAUGACUGGGGUGAAGUCGUAACAAGGUAGCCGUAGGGGAACCUGCGGCUGGAUCACCUCCUAAU
RNAcentral lists this ribosomal RNA (862 nucleotides) under uncultured bacterium. RNAcentral describes it as "bacterial SSU rRNA". It matches the Rfam family "Bacterial small subunit ribosomal RNA", at positions 671 to 1533 of the family's 1533-position model. The record is from RNAcentral.